This 107-nucleotide small nuclear RNA is filed under the name Tupaia belangeri (northern tree shrew). Lineage: Eukaryota; Metazoa; Chordata; Mammalia; Scandentia; Tupaiidae. The record is from RNAcentral.
GUGCUCACUUCAGCAGCACAUAUACUAAAAUUGGAAUGAUACAGAGGAGAUUAGCAUGGCCCCUGUGCAAGGAUGACAUGUAAAUUUGUGAAGCAUUUCAUAUUUAA